This 439-nucleotide ribosomal RNA is filed under the name uncultured bacterium. Its description in RNAcentral is "partial 16S ribosomal RNA". It matches the Rfam family "Bacterial small subunit ribosomal RNA", at positions 339 to 795 of the family's 1533-position model. The record is from RNAcentral.
CUACGGGGCGCUGCAGUGGGGAAUAUUGCACAAUGGAGGAAACUCUGAUGCAGCAACUCCGCGUGGAGGAUGACACUUUUCGGAGCGUAAACUCCUUUUAUAUAGGAAGAAGAUGACGGUACUAUAUGAAUAAGCGCCGGCUAACUCCGUGCCAGCAGCCGCGGUAAUACGGAGGGCGCAAGCGUUACUCGGAAUCACUGGGCGUAAAGAGCGUGUAGGCGGAUUAAAAAGUCAGAAGUGAAAUCCUAUAGCUUAACUAUAGAACUGCUUCUGAAACUCUUAAUCUAGAAUAUGGGAGAGGUAGAUGGAAUUUCUGGUGUAGGGGUAAAAUCCGUAGAGAUCAGAAGGAAUACCGAUUGCGAAGGCGAUCUACUAGAACAUUAUUGACGCUGAGACGCGAAAGCGUGGGGAGUAAACAGGAUUAGAUACCCCCGUAGUC